GUGUCUCGUGUAUAUGUUGUCUCAAAGAUUAAGCCAUGCAUGUCUAGUACACGCCUCUUGACGGCGAAACCGCGAAUGGCUCAUUAAAUCAGUUAUGGUUCCUUAGAUCGUACACACCUACUUGGAUAACCGUGGUAAUUCUAGGGCUAAUACAUGCAACUGAGCCGUCCCGGCCCUUCUGGACCGGGAGGGUGCCUUUAUUAGGACAAGACCGGACGCCUAUUUAUAGGCGUUUAGGAUGGUGACCCUGGAUAACCGUGGCGGAUCGCACGGCCCCCGCGCCGGCGACGCAUCUUUCAAGUGUCUGCCUUAUCAACUGUCGACGGUAGGUUAUGCGCCUACCGUGGUUGUAACGGGUAACGGGGAAUCAGGGUUCGGUUCCGGAGAGGGAGCCUGAGAGAUGGCUACCACAUCCAAGGAAGGCAGCAGGCGCGCAAAUUACCCAAUCCCGGCCCGGGGAGGUAGUGACGAAAAAUAACGAUGCGGGACUCUUUCGAGGCUCCGUAAUCGGAAUGAGAGAAAUCCAAGCCCUUCACCGAGGAUCUAUUCGAUGGCUAGUCAGGUGCCAGCAGCAGCGGUAAAACCUGCUCGGAUAGCGUAUAUUAAAGUUGUUGCGGUUAAAAAGCCCGUAGUUGGAUCUCAGUCGAGCCCCAGGCGCGAUGCGUCGCGAGGCGCGGUUCGCCCUGGGCCGACCUUUCUGCCGGCGGCCCCGGUUGGCCUUCGUUGGCUGACCGGGUCCUCCGGCGACUUUACUUUGCAAAAAAUAGGGUGCUCAGGGCAGGCAGACUUUGCCUGGAUACGGGUGCAUGGAAUAAUGGAAUAGGACCCCCGUUCUAUUUUGUUGGUUUUCGGAAUCGGAGGUAAUGAUUGAGAGGGACAGACGGGGGCAUUCGUACUGCGGCGCUAGAGGUGAAAUUCUUGGACCGCCGCAAGACGAACGGUUGCGAAGGCAUUUGCCAAGGAUGUUUUCAUUAAUCAAGGACGAAAGUCAGAGGUUCGAAGGCGAUCAGAUACCGCCCUAGUUCUGACCAUAAACGAUGCCGACCAGCGAUCCGCCCGAGUUCAUCUAAGACUCGGCGGGCAGCUUCAGGGAAACCAAAGUUUUUGGGUUCCGGGGGGAGUAUGGUUGCAAAGCUGAAACUUAAAGGAAUUGACGGAAGGGCACACAAUGAGUGGGGCCUGCGGCUUAAUUUGACUCAACACGGAGAACUCUACCAGGUCCGGACACCGGAAGGAUUGACAGAUUGAUAGCUCUUUCUUGAUUCGGUGGUAGGUGGUGCAUGGCCGUCCCAGUUCGUGGAGCGAUCUGGCUGGUAUCA
This 1319-nucleotide ribosomal RNA is filed under the name Cystowithius sp. RNAcentral describes it as "SSU rRNA". It matches the Rfam family "Eukaryotic small subunit ribosomal RNA", at positions 1 to 1322 of the family's 1831-position model. The record is from RNAcentral. Lineage: Eukaryota; Metazoa; Arthropoda; Arachnida; Pseudoscorpiones; Withiidae.